UACAGAGGGUGCAAGCGUUAAUCGGAUUUACUGGGCGUAAAGCGUGUGUAGGUGGCUUCUUAAGUCGAUUGUGAAAUCCCUGGGCUCAACCUGGGAAUUGCAGUCGAUACUGGGAAGCUAGAGUUCGGUAGAGGGUGACGGAAUUCCCGGUGUAGCAGUGAAAUGCGUAGAUAUCGGGAGGAACAUCGAUGGCGAAGGCGGCCUGCUGGGCAGUAGCUGACGCUGAGGCGCGACAGCGUGGGGAGCAAACAGG
Molecule: ribosomal RNA, 253 nt
Filed under: uncultured bacterium
Lineage: Bacteria
Description: partial 16S ribosomal RNA
Rfam family: Bacterial small subunit ribosomal RNA
Source: RNAcentral